This 501-nucleotide ribosomal RNA is filed under the name uncultured bacterium. Its description in RNAcentral is "partial 16S ribosomal RNA". It matches the Rfam family "Bacterial small subunit ribosomal RNA", at positions 30 to 523 of the family's 1533-position model. The record is from RNAcentral.
AUUGAACGCUGGCGGCAUGCCUUACACAUGCAAGUCGAACGGCAGCACGGGUGCUUGCACCUGGUGGCGAGUGGCGAACGGGUGAGUAAUACAUCGGAACGUACCUUAUCGUGGGGGAUAACGCAGCGAAAGCUGUGCUAAUACCGCAUAAGCCCUGAGGGGGAAAGCGGGGGAUCGAAAGACCUCGCGCGAUUAGAGCGGCCGAUGCCUGAUUAGCUUGUUGGUGGGGUAAAAGCCCACCAAGGCGACGAUCAGUAGCUGGUCUGAGAGGACGAUCAGCCACACUGGGACUGAGACACGGCCCAGACUCCUACGGGAGGCAGCAGUGGGGAAUUUUGGACAAUGGGGGCAACCCUGAUCCAGCAAUGCCGCGUGAGUGAAGAAGGCCUUCGGGUUGUAAAGCUCUUUUGUCAGGGAAGAAACACCGGCUCUAACACAGUCCGGGAAUGACGGUACCUGAAGAAUAAGCACCGGCUAACUACGUGCCAGCCGCCGCUGUAA